AAUAUUGGACAAUGGGGGCAACCCUGAUCCAGCCAUGCCGCGUGUGUGAAUAAGGUCUUCGGAUUGUAAAGCACUCUAAGUUGGGAGGAAGGGCUUUAGGUAAAUACCCUGAAGUUUUGACGUUACCAACAGAAUAAGCACCGGCUAACUCUGUGCCAUCAGCCGAGGUAAUGCAGAGGGGGCAAGCGUUAAUCGGAAUUACUGGGCGUAAAGCGCUCGUAGGUGGUUCAGUAAGAUGGGUGUGAAAUCCCCGGGCUUAACCUGGGAACUGCUUUCAUAACUGCUGAGCUAGAGUACGGUAGAGGGUAGUGGAAUUUCCUGUGUAGCGGUGAAAUGCGUAGAUAUAGGAAGGAACACCAGUGGCGAAGGCGACUACCUGGACUGAUACUGACACUGAGGUGCGAAAGCGUGGGGAGCAAAC
Molecule: ribosomal RNA, 421 nt
Filed under: uncultured bacterium
Lineage: Bacteria
Description: partial 16S ribosomal RNA
Rfam family: Bacterial small subunit ribosomal RNA
Source: RNAcentral